AACGAACGCUGGCGGCAGGCUUAACACAUGCAAGUCGAACGCCCCGCAAGGGGAGUGGCAGACGGGUGAGUAACGCGUGGGAACAUACCCUUUUCUACGGAAUAGCUCUGGGAAACUGGAAUUAAUACCGUAUACGCCCUACGGGGGAAAGAUUUAUCGGGGAAGGAUUGGCCCGCGUUGGAUUAGCUAGUUGGUGGGGUAAAGGCCUACCAAGGCGACGAUCCAUAGCUGGUCUGAGAGGAUGAUCAGCCACAUUGGGACUGAGACACGGCCCAAACUCCUACGGGAGGCAGCAGUGGGGAAUAUUGGUCAAUGGGCGCAAGCCUGAUCCAGCCAUGCCGCGUGAGUGAUGAAGGCCUUAGGGUUGUAAAGCUCUUUCACCGAUGAAGAUAAUGACGGUAGUCGGAGAAGAAGCCCCGGCUAACUUCGUG
Molecule: ribosomal RNA, 431 nt
Filed under: uncultured bacterium
Lineage: Bacteria
Description: partial 16S ribosomal RNA
Rfam family: Bacterial small subunit ribosomal RNA
Source: RNAcentral